UACGUAGGGGGCUAGCGUUGUCCGGAUUUAUUGGGCGUAAAGAGCGUGUAGGCGGCCAGGUAGGUCUGGUGUGAAAACUCGAGGCUUAACCUCGAGAUGUCAUCGGAAACCAUUUGGCUAGAGUCCAGAAGAGGAGAGUGGAAUUCCUGGUGUAGCGGUGAAAUGCGCAGAUAUCAGGAAGAACACCAAUGGCGAAAGCAGCUCUCUGGGACGGUACUGACGCUGAGACGCGAAAGCGUGGGGAGCGAACAGG
This 253-nucleotide ribosomal RNA is filed under the name uncultured bacterium. RNAcentral's name for it is "partial 16S ribosomal RNA". It matches the Rfam family "Bacterial small subunit ribosomal RNA", at positions 524 to 776 of the family's 1533-position model. The record is from RNAcentral.